UAAAUAAGUGGAUGAUCUGAGAAGUUCUAGAAUACAAGAAAAAUAGAAAAUAUCCUUACACUUUCCUUUCUCUCCUCUCACUAUUAGACCAGAGUAAAAUCAUACAAAUGCACGGCGAUUCAAGUUGUUUUGGCGUUUAACAUGGUAUCAGAGCUCAGAAUCGUGUAGCUCUCACUCACAACUACCUUUCGAUCCUAUACUCGAGGCAUUUGUCGACAGUUCGUAUUCCCACAGUUUCUUUUGUCAUUUUGAUCUUUUUGGUGAGAAUUUAGUGAGUAUGUUGAGCAAGGUUUUUAUUUCUUCAAGCUAUCGAAGAAGGACGGUAACAUUUUUGUUAUGGACUUAUGGACUUUUUCUUUUCUAGUAUUGAGCUCUCACUGUUGUGUAUUGAACUAGCAGGACCUGUAUAUUGUUGGUUUGGAUGUGUUAACCGGUUAUGUUGCUGAUUUUAACUGUCUAUCGAUUUGUUGGAAUCUGUAUAUUGGUGGUUAGCUGAUUAUAGUGUCGGUUUAGCUGAUUUUAGUUGUUUUUUGGUUGUUUUUUUACUAGGUGUUAUGGGGGAUAACACCACUACUGCUUUCUCUGAUAAAUUUACCCUCUUCUUCAUCAACCCUUCUUACCUAUUCGAUAAUCCUAACACUUCUAUAGUUUCUCCUACCUUUGAUGGAAACUAUUUUGCUGCUUGAAGGAGGAAUAUGCAUGUGGUUCUCUCAGCCAAAAACAAGCUCGACAUAAUCACUGGAAAAAAUUCCCAACCAUAAAAAAUUUCCCCAUAUUAUUUAGGAUGGUAACGAUGUAAUGAUAUGCUAAUAGCCUGGAUGAUAAAUUCGUUAUCCAGGAAAAUUGAACUUAGUUUAAUAGGAUACACUACUGCUAAAGAAAUUUGGCGGGAUCUCAAUGAACAUUUUGGGCAAUCAAAUAAUUCCAAAUAUAUUCAAAUCCAGAGAAAAAUCAGUUCUAUUACUCAGGGUUCCUCAGGUAUAAUGAGUUAUUUCACCAAAUUACGAAUUCUAUAGGAUGAACUUCAUACCUCUUAUGUGUGUCCCAACUGCACAUGUGGUACUCUACCAAAAUUGUUGAAAAAGAACAACUAUUUCAGUUCCUAAGUGGUUUAAAUGAAUGUUACUCAUCUUGCAAAUCCAAUAUCUUAAUGAUGUCUCCUUUGCCCUCUAUCAGUAAAGCAUAUUCUAUGUUGCAACAUGAUGAACAUCAAAAGAAACAUUCCCCACAUAUUCUCAGUUUCUCAAUUUUUCAACUGAGUUUUUAUCCUUUCUAGCAUCCACUAGCUCUUCUAAUUCUUAUAAGAGGAAGGUUUAAGCUGGUCCAAAUCAUAGAAUUCAUUUUGACUCAAGAAGAAGGAACACUUAUUAUCAUUAGAAGAUCCAGUUUGAGUUCAGGAAAGGAAAUUCUGGCGUUAUUGCUACUGACCACUGCAAGUACUGCGAAAGGUCUGGUCAUGUUAUUGAUGAUUGUCAUAAACUUCAUAGGUUGUCAGCAGAUUUUAAAUUCACUAAGAAAAAAAAAGCCUCUACAUUAUGUGUACAGAAUGUAAAAUCUACAUCUGAAUCUAGAUCUUUUUCAUUUGUUCUUGUUGGUUUCAAUAAUGACUAAUAUCAACACUAUCAAUAUUUGCUCAGUUUACAACAGUAGUUUUCUUCUUCUAAAGGAACCUUUGAUGAAAAUGUUGUUUUUAGUUCUUUUGAAGGUUUGGUUAGCAGCUCUACUGUUAAUAAUAUUGAUUCAUAUAUAUGUGUAGCAUCUUAACUAUGUAGUUCUAGUGUUUAGAUUUUAGAUUCAGGGGCAACUAACCACAUGACCCCAUAUAAACACCUCUUACAUAACAUACAACCCUUAUCCACUCUAUAUCUAAUCACUCUUCCCAAUGGGUACAAAGUGAAAGUCAUAACCACUAAAUUUUUAAAAUUCAGACAUGAUUUAAUUCUUCACAAUGUACUCCUUGUUCCUUAUUUUUUAUUUUAAUUUGAUUUAUAUUCAUAAAUUACUUGUGCAACUUCAGUGUUCUGCCAUUCUUAUAAUUUCUGCUUGCUUUUUAUAGGGUCUUUCUCUGAAGAGGCCAUUAAAAAUUGGUAAAGUGGGUAAUGGG
RNAcentral lists this long non-coding RNA (2104 nucleotides) under Capsicum annuum. RNAcentral's name for it is "long non-coding RNA (CANN_LNC009509)". Lineage: Eukaryota; Viridiplantae; Streptophyta; Magnoliopsida; Solanales; Solanaceae. The record is from RNAcentral.